CCUACGGGAGGCAGCAGUGGGGAAUUUUGCGCAAUGGGCGAAAGCCUGACGCAGCAACGCUGCGUGAGUGAUGAAGGCUUUCGGGUCGUAAAGCUCUGUCAAGGGGAAAGAAAUGUACGGAGGUUAAUACCCUUUGUACUUGACGGUACCCCUAAAGGAAGCACCGGCUAACUCCGUGCCAGCAGCCGCGGUAAU
Molecule: ribosomal RNA, 195 nt
Filed under: uncultured Geobacter sp.
Lineage: Bacteria; Pseudomonadati; Thermodesulfobacteriota; Desulfuromonadia; Geobacterales; Geobacteraceae
Description: partial 16S ribosomal RNA
Rfam family: Bacterial small subunit ribosomal RNA
Source: RNAcentral